GAUGAACGCUAGCUACAGGCUUAACACAUGCAAGUCGAGGGGCAUCAGGAAGAAAGCUUGCUUUCUUUGCUGGCGACCGGCGCACGGGUGAGUAACACGUAUCCAACCUGCCCUUUACUCGGGGAUAGCCUUUCGAAAGAAAGAUUAAUACCCGAUAGCAUAAUGAUUCCGCAUGGUUUCAUUAUUAAAGGAUUCCGGUAAAGGAUGGGGAUGCGUUCCAUUAGGUUGUUGGUGAGGUAACGGCCCACCAAGCCUUCGAUGGAUAGGGGUUCUGAGAGGAAGGUCCCCCACAUUGGAACUGAGACACGGUCCAAACUCCUACGGGAGGCAGCAGUGAGGAAUAUUGGUCAAUGGGCGCUAGCCUGAACCAGCCAAGUAGCGUGAAGGAUGAAGGCUCUAUGGGUCGUAAACUUCUUUUAUAUAAGAAUAAAGUGCAGUAUGUAUACUGUUUUGUAUGUAUUAUAUGAAUAAGGAUCGGCUAACUCCGUGCCAGCAGCCGCGGUAAUACGGAGGAUCCGAGCGUUAUCCGGAUUUAUUGGGUUUAAAGGGAGCGUAGGUGGACUGGUAAGUCAGUUGUGAAAGUUUGCGGCUCAACCGUAAAAUUGCAGUUGAUACUGUCAGUCUUGAGUACAGUAGAGGUGGGCGGAAUUCGUGGUGUAGCGGUGAAAUGCUUAGAUAACACGAAGAACUCCGAUUGCGAAGGCAGCUCACUGGACUGCAACUGACACUGAUGCUCGAAAGUGUGGGUAUCAAACAGGAUUAGAUACCCUGGUAGUCCACACAGUAAACGAUGAAUACUCGCUGUUUGCGAUAUACAGUAAGCGGCCAAGCGAAAGCAUUAAGUAUUCCACCUGGGGAGUACGCCGGCAACGGUGAAACUCAAAGGAAUUGACGGGGGCCCGCACAAGCGGAGGAACAUGUGGUUUAAUUCGAUGAUACGCGAGGAACCUUACCCGGGCUUAAAUUGCAGUGGAAUGAUGUGGAAACAUGUCAGUGAGCAAUCACCGCUGUGAAGGUGCUGCAUGGUUGUCGUCAGCUCGUGCCGUGAGGUGUCGGCUUAAGUGCCAUAACGAGCGCAACCCUUAUCUUCAGUUACUAACAGGUCAUGCUGAGGACUCUGGAGAGACUGCCGUCGUAAGAUGUGAGGAAGGUGGGGAUGACGUCAAAUCAGCACGGCCCUUACGUCCGGGGCUACACACGUGUUACAAUGGGGGGUACAGAAGGCAGCUAGCGGGUGACCGUAUGCUAAUCCCAAAAUCCUCUCUCAGUUCGGAUCGAAGUCUGCAACCCGACUUCGUGAAGCUGGAUUCGCUAGUAAUCGCGCAUCAGCCACGGCGCGGUGAAUACGUUCCCGGGCCU
Molecule: ribosomal RNA, 1359 nt
Filed under: uncultured bacterium
Lineage: Bacteria
Description: bacterial SSU rRNA
Rfam family: Bacterial small subunit ribosomal RNA
Source: RNAcentral